UACGGAGGGUGCGAGCGUUAAUCGGAAUUACUGGGCGUAAAGCGCACGUAGGCGGUUUGUUAAGCAAGAUGUGAAAGCCCAGGGCUCAACCUUGGAAUUGCAUUUUGAACUGGCAAGCUAGAGUUUUGAAGAGGGUGGUAGAAUUUCCAGUGUAGCGGUGAAACGCGUAGAUAUUGGAAGGAACACCAGUGGCGAAGGCGGCCACGUGGCCAAAACCGGACGCUGAGGAGCGAAAGCGUGGGGAGCAAACAGG
RNAcentral lists this unclassified non-coding RNA (253 nucleotides) under uncultured Idiomarinaceae bacterium. RNAcentral describes it as "contains 16S-23S intergenic spacer region". It matches the Rfam family "Bacterial small subunit ribosomal RNA", at positions 524 to 776 of the family's 1533-position model. Lineage: Bacteria; Pseudomonadati; Pseudomonadota; Gammaproteobacteria; Alteromonadales; Idiomarinaceae. The record is from RNAcentral.